AGCAGUCGCCGCGGGAAUACGAAGGGUGCAAGCGUUACUCGGAAUUACUGGGCGUAAAGCGUGCGUAGGUGGUGGUUUAAGUCCGUUGUGAAAGCCCUGGGCUCAACCUGGGAAUUGCAGUGGAUACUGGGUCACUAGAGUGUGGUAGAGGAUAGUGGAAUUUCCGGUGUAGCAGUGAAAUGCGUAGAGAUCUGGAGGAAUACCGGUGGCGAAGGCGGCCCCCUGGACAAAGACUGACGCUCAGGUGCGAAAGCGUGGGGAGCAAACAGGAUUAGAUACCCGAGUAGUCCCUGUCUCUUAUAC
RNAcentral lists this ribosomal RNA (303 nucleotides) under uncultured bacterium. RNAcentral's name for it is "partial 16S ribosomal RNA". It matches the Rfam family "Bacterial small subunit ribosomal RNA", at positions 507 to 807 of the family's 1533-position model. The record is from RNAcentral.